ACGAACGCUGGCGGCGUGCUUCACCCAUGCAAGUCGAACGGUGAAGCCCUUCGGGGUGGAUCAGUGGCGAACGGGUGAGUAACACGUGAGCAACCUGCCCCUGGCUCUGGGACAACCACUGGAAACGGUGGCUAAUACCGGAUACGACCCGCCUCGGCAUCGAGUGUGGGUGGAAAGUUUUUCGGCUGGGGAUGGGCUCGCGGCCUAUCAGCUUGUUGGUGAGGUGAAGGCUCACCAAGGCGACGACGGGUAGCCGGCCUGAGAGGGCGACCGGCCACACUGGGACUGAGACACGGCCCAGACUCCUACGGGAGGCAGCAGUGGGGAAUAUUGCACAAUGGGCGAAAGCCUGAUGCAGCGACGCCGCGUGAGGGAUGACGGCCUUCGGGUUGUAAACCUCUUUCAGCUCCGAAGAAGCGAAAGUGACGGUAGGAGCAGAAGAAGCACCGGCUAACUACGUG
This 461-nucleotide ribosomal RNA is filed under the name uncultured bacterium. Its description in RNAcentral is "partial 16S ribosomal RNA". It matches the Rfam family "Bacterial small subunit ribosomal RNA", at positions 29 to 507 of the family's 1533-position model. The record is from RNAcentral.